UACGAAGGGGGCUAGCGUUGCUCGGAAUUACUGGGCGUAAAGGGAGCGUAGGCGGACAUUUAAGUCAGGGGUGAAAUCCCAGAGCUCAACUCUGGAACUGCCUUUGAUACUGGAUGUCUUGAGUGUGAGAGAGGUAUGUGGAACUCCGAGUGUAGAGGUGAAAUUCGUAGAUAUCGGAAGGAACACCAGUGGCGAAAGCGGCUUCCUGGUCCAGCACCGACGUUCAGGCACGAAAGCGUGGGGAGCAAACAGG
This 253-nucleotide ribosomal RNA is filed under the name uncultured bacterium. RNAcentral describes it as "partial 16S ribosomal RNA". It matches the Rfam family "Bacterial small subunit ribosomal RNA", at positions 524 to 776 of the family's 1533-position model. The record is from RNAcentral.